UACGAAGGGGGCUAGCGUUGUUCGGAAUUACUGGGCGUAAAGCGCACGUAGGCGGAUUUGUAAGUCAGGGGUGAAAUCCCGGGGCUCAACCUCGGAACUGCCUUUGAUACUGCAAGUCUCGAGUCCGAUAGAGGUGAGUGGAAUUCCUGGUGUAGCGGUGAAAUGCGCAGAUAUCAGGAGGAACACCGACGGCGAAGGCAGCACUCUGGGCCGGUACUGACGCUGAGGAGCGAAAGCAUGGGGAGCGAACAGG
Molecule: ribosomal RNA, 253 nt
Filed under: uncultured bacterium
Lineage: Bacteria
Description: partial 16S ribosomal RNA
Rfam family: Bacterial small subunit ribosomal RNA
Source: RNAcentral